RNAcentral lists this ribosomal RNA (468 nucleotides) under uncultured bacterium. RNAcentral describes it as "partial 16S ribosomal RNA". It matches the Rfam family "Bacterial small subunit ribosomal RNA", at positions 28 to 507 of the family's 1533-position model. The record is from RNAcentral.
GACGAACGCUGGCGGCGCGCCUAACACAUGCAAGUCGAACGGAGCUGAGAGAAGCUUGCUUUUCUUAGCUUAGUGGCGAACGGGUGAGUAACGCGUGAGUAACCUGCCCUGGAGUGGGGGACAACAGUUGGAAACGACUGCUAAUACCGCAUAAGCCCACGAUCCGGCAUCGGAUUGAGGGAAAAGGAUUUAUUCGCUUCAGGAUGGACUCGCGUCCAAUUAGCUAGUUGGUGAGGUAACGGCCCACCAAGGCGACGAUUGGUAGCCGGACUGAGAGGUUGAACGGCCACAUUGGGACUGAGACACGGCCCAGACUCCUACGGGAGGCAGCAGUGGGGGAUAUUGCACAAUGGGGGAAACCCUGAUGCAGCGACGCCGCGUGGAGGAAGAAGGUUUACGGAUUGUAAACUCCUGUCGUUAGGGACGAUAAUGACGGUACCUAACAAGAAAGCACCGGCUAACUACGUG